This 490-nucleotide ribosomal RNA is filed under the name uncultured marine eukaryote. RNAcentral's name for it is "SSU rRNA". It matches the Rfam family "Eukaryotic small subunit ribosomal RNA", at positions 616 to 1122 of the family's 1831-position model. The record is from RNAcentral.
CAGUUAAAAAGCUCGUAGUUGGAUUUCUGUGAGAGUAUGAUGUCCUAACGUGUUUAGAGCGCAGAAAACUCUUGCAUCCUUCUGUUACCUCCACGUGGCAUUCGCUUGCCAGUGGUUGGCUCAGAGAAUUUACCUUGAGAAAAUUAGAGUGUUUCAGGCAGGCUUAGACGGAAUACAUUAGCAUGGAAUAAUAGAAUAGGACUCCGGCCUCGUUGUUGGUUUGAGGGACUGUAGUAAUGAUUAAUAGGGAUAGUUGGGGGCAUUAGUAUUCGGUUGUCAGAGGUGAAAUUCUCAGAUUUAUUGAAGACUAACUUAUGCGAAAGCAUUUGCCAAGGAUGUUUUCAUUAAUCAAGAACGUAAGUUAGGGGAUCAAAGACGAUCAGAUACCGUCCUAGUCUUAACCAUAAACUAUGCCGACUCGGGAUUGGGGGCGUGUUAUUAUCCGCCUUCAGCCCGUAUGAGAAAUCAAAGUCUUUGGGUUCUGGGGGGA